This 160-nucleotide ribosomal RNA is filed under the name uncultured bacterium. RNAcentral's name for it is "partial 16S ribosomal RNA". It matches the Rfam family "Bacterial small subunit ribosomal RNA", at positions 355 to 507 of the family's 1533-position model. The record is from RNAcentral.
UGGGGAAUAUUGGACAAUGGGCGAAAGCCUGAUCCAGCCAUGCCGCGUGUGUGAAGAAGGUCUUCGGAUUGUAACGCACUUUAAGUUUCGAGGAAGGGCAGUUACCUAAUACGUGAUUGUUUUGACGUUACCGACAGAAUAAGCACCGGCUAACUCUGUG